AUAUAUUUUAUAAAAAAAAAAAAAAAAAAAAUCUGUUCUUAUCAGUUUAAUAUCUGAUACGUCCCCCAUCGGGGGACUACAUAUUAAAUGGAUUUUUCGAACAGGGAGUCGGAAAUGGGGCUUGCUCCGUCCGCUCCACGCAUCGACCCGGUAUUGCAGUACCUCCGGGAACGGUGCAACACUU
RNAcentral lists this small nuclear RNA (184 nucleotides) under Salmo salar (Atlantic salmon). Its description in RNAcentral is "U2 spliceosomal RNA (ENSSSAG00020075694.1)". It matches the Rfam family "U2 spliceosomal RNA". Rfam says of the family: U2 is a small nuclear RNA (snRNA) component of the spliceosome (involved in pre-mRNA splicing). Complementary binding between U2 snRNA (in an area lying towards the 5' end but 3' to hairpin I) and the branchpoint sequence (BPS) of the intron results the bulging out of an unpaired adenosine, on the BPS, which initiates a nucleophilic attack at the intronic 5' splice site, thus starting the first of two transesterification reactions that mediate splicing. The record is from RNAcentral. Lineage: Eukaryota; Metazoa; Chordata; Actinopteri; Salmoniformes; Salmonidae.